This 449-nucleotide ribosomal RNA is filed under the name uncultured bacterium. RNAcentral's name for it is "partial 16S ribosomal RNA". It matches the Rfam family "Bacterial small subunit ribosomal RNA", at positions 29 to 523 of the family's 1533-position model. The record is from RNAcentral.
AAUGAACGCUGACGGCAGGCCUAACACAUGCAAGUCGAACGAGGUAGCAAUACCUAGUGGCGGACGGGUGAGUAACGCGUGGGAACGUGCCCCUUGGUACGGAAUAGCCCUGGGAAACUGGGAGUAAUACCGUAUGUGGUCGAGAGACGAAAGAUUUAUCGCCAAGGGAUCGGCCCGCGUUGGAUUAGGUAGUUGGUGGGGUAAUGGCCUACCAAGCCGACGAUCCAUAGCUGGUUUGAGAGGAUGAUCAGGCACACGGUGACUGAGACACAGUCCAGACUCCGACGUGAGCCAGGAGUGGGGAAUCUUAUAGAAUGGGGGAACACCUGAUCUAGCCAUGCCGCGAGAUCUAUGAAUGCCUUGGGGUUGUAAAGAUCUGUCAGUGGUGAAGAUAAUGGCGGUAACAACACAAGAAGCCCCGGCUAACUCCGUGCCUGCCGCCGCUGUAA